Molecule: non-coding RNA, 71 nt
Filed under: Polytomella parva
Lineage: Eukaryota; Viridiplantae; Chlorophyta; Chlorophyceae; Chlamydomonadales; Chlamydomonadaceae
Source: RNAcentral
AUUCUUUUUUCUUUUUUUUUUCCUUCUUUUCUUUUCUUUUUUAGAAAAUAUAAUAGAGAAAAGCAAAGUCU